RNAcentral lists this ribosomal RNA (631 nucleotides) under Escherichia coli. RNAcentral's name for it is "partial 23S ribosomal RNA". It matches the Rfam family "Bacterial large subunit ribosomal RNA", at positions 1291 to 1907 of the family's 2925-position model. The record is from RNAcentral. Lineage: Bacteria; Pseudomonadati; Pseudomonadota; Gammaproteobacteria; Enterobacterales; Enterobacteriaceae.
CGAAUGCUGACAUAAGUAACGAUAAAGCGGGUGAAAAGCCCGCUCGCCGGAAGACCAAGGGUUCCUGUCCAACGUUAAUCGGGGCAGGGUGAGUCGACCCCUAAGGCGAGGCCGAAAGGCGUAGUCGAUGGGAAACAGGUUAAUAUUCCUGUACUUGGUGUUACUGCGAAGGGGGGACGGAGAAGGCUAUGUUGGCCGGGCGACGGUUGUCCCGGUUUAAGCGUGUAGGCUGGUUUUCCAGGCAAAUCCGGAAAAUCAAGGCUGAGGCGUGAUGACGAGGCACUACGGUGCUGAAGCAACAAAUGCCCUGCUUCCAGGAAAAGCCUCUAAGCAUCAGGUAACAUCAAAUCGUACCCCAAACCGACACAGGUGGUCAGGUAGAGAAUACCAAGGCGCUUGAGAGAACUCGGGUGAAGGAACUAGGCAAAAUGGUGCCGUAACUUCGGGAGAAGGCACGCUGAUAUGUAGGUGAAGUGAUUUACUCAUGGAGCUGAAAUCAGUCGAAGAUACCAGCUGGCUGCAACUGUUUAUUAAAAACACAGCACUGUGCAAACACGAAAGUGGACGUAUACGGUGUGACGCCUGCCCGGUGCCGGAAGGUUAAUUGAUGGGGUCAGCGCAAGCGAAGCUC